UCUUCUCAGUUUUUCUGGAUUACUAAACAAACCUGCCAAGAUGAAAUGGGUAGGCUAUCAAAUGAGCAGUUCCUGGAUUUCUGCCUGU
Molecule: non-coding RNA, 88 nt
Organism: Aspergillus fumigatus Af293
Lineage: Eukaryota; Fungi; Ascomycota; Eurotiomycetes; Eurotiales; Aspergillaceae
Source: the annotation of a RefSeq genome assembly